RNAcentral lists this transfer RNA (84 nucleotides) under secondary endosymbiont of Ctenarytaina eucalypti. It matches the Rfam family "tRNA". Rfam says of the family: Transfer RNA (tRNA) molecules are approximately 80 nucleotides in length. Their secondary structure includes four short double-helical elements and three loops (D, anti-codon, and T loops). Lineage: Bacteria; Pseudomonadati; Pseudomonadota; Gammaproteobacteria; Enterobacterales; Enterobacteriaceae. The record is from Rfam by way of RNAcentral.
GCCGAGGUGGUGGAACUGGUAGACACGCUACCUUGAGGUGGUAGUGCCUAAUUAGGCUUGCGGGUUCAAGUCCCGCCCUCGGUA